UACUGUCCAAGCGUAGAGUAGGUGUGUGGGGCUUGUCGGGCAGCUACCGCGAGAUCCGAGCGGGCGGCGGUGGGACAGCGAGGGGACGGGACAGCGGCCGGCGGAGUGAGGGGGCGGGGCAGCGGCGGGGGGGCGGGGCAGCGGCCGGGAGGGGGCGGUGGGACAGCGGCCGGGGCAGCGAGGGGGCGGGUAAGCGACCCCGAGUUGGACACGCAGAUGCACGGCGCCUGCGACCUGCUGGACCUGCGGCCGGGCGGGAGGUGCCCGAGGAGGUGGCGGCGCGAGCAGAGCGGCCGCCGGAGGAGGAGGAGGAGGAUGCGGUGGUCGCGGUUGUGGUGGGGGUGGCGGCUGGGGCCGUCGCGGUCCCAGGGGCCACGCGAGUACGGGUGGUGGGGCUGCGGGUGGAGGCGGCCGGAAGCGGAGAGGUUCAGGCCGUCGUUCAGGAAGUUCACCCCACGACUUGUGUCCUCCUCCGACCAGGAGGGACUGACGUGGUCGAGACGGGGUAGAGGAAGGACACUCCUCUUUUCCGACUACGAUCAUCGAUGAGAAAAGGGAACGAGACUAGAAGUAGAGAUGGUACGGCGUUCAUAUCGAACGAGACGAAAGGGAGACAAACAACCUAAGGUAGACGACCACACCGAGGUCGCAACGAGGCCACUCAGUCUACGGGAGAGAAGGGAACGGUGUAGGGAGGAAGGAAUAGAAGAAAUGGUGCAGGGGAGAUUGAGAGACUAGGCAGCAGCGAGCUCGUGGUCCUACGGUACCUGUCCUACCGGUGAAGGAGGGGACGGGCCUGCGGUACCUCACCGAUCUAGACCGGUACCUGCUGCUACGGGUCACUGUUCCCUGCCGGACCGGACGGUGGGACUUCGGUAUAGUUCCGCCUACUUGUUCCUCCUCUGGUGGCAGCCUCCCCUCGAUCCUCCCCAGACU
This 936-nucleotide ribosomal RNA is filed under the name Triticum aestivum (bread wheat). Its description in RNAcentral is "partial small subunit ribosomal RNA". Lineage: Eukaryota; Viridiplantae; Streptophyta; Magnoliopsida; Poales; Poaceae. The record is from RNAcentral.